This 253-nucleotide ribosomal RNA is filed under the name uncultured bacterium. RNAcentral describes it as "partial 16S ribosomal RNA". It matches the Rfam family "Bacterial small subunit ribosomal RNA", at positions 524 to 776 of the family's 1533-position model. The record is from RNAcentral.
UACGUAGGGGGCAAGCGUUGUCCGGAAUCAUUGGGCGUAAAGAGCGUGUAGGCGGCCCGAUAAGUCUGCCGUGAAAGUCCAGGGCUCAACCCUGGAAUGCCGGUGGAAACUGUCGGGCUGGAGUCCGGAAGAGGCGAGUGGAAUUCCUGGUGUAGCGGUGAAAUGCGCAGAUAUCAGGAAGAACACCAGUGGCGAAGGCGCCGCUCUGGGCCGUGACUGACGCUGAGGAGCGAAAGCGUGGGUAGCAAACAGG